GCUUGUCUCAAAGAUUAAGCCAUGCAUGUCUAAGUAUAAGCACUUAUACCGUGAAACUGCGAAUGGCUCAUUACAUCAGUUAUAGUUUAUUUGAUAGUCCCCACUACUUGGAUAACCGUAGUAAUUCUAGAGCUAAUACAUGCAUCAAACCCCGACUCACGAAGGGGUGUAUUUAUUAGAUGGAAACCAAUGCGGGGCAACCCGGUAUAUGGUGAUUCAUAAUAACUUUCGGAUCGAUCUUCGGAUCGAUGCAUCAUUCAAGUUUCUGCCCUAUCAGCUUUGGAUGGUAGGGUAUUGGCCUACCAUGGCUUUAACGGGUAACGGAGAAUUAGGGUUCGAUUCCGGAGAGGGAGCCUGAGAAAUGGCUACCACAUCCAAGGAAGGCAGCAGG
This 391-nucleotide ribosomal RNA is filed under the name uncultured Chrysophyceae. Its description in RNAcentral is "partial small subunit ribosomal RNA". It matches the Rfam family "Eukaryotic small subunit ribosomal RNA", at positions 30 to 432 of the family's 1831-position model. The record is from RNAcentral. Lineage: Eukaryota; Chrysophyceae.